UUACGCCAGCAUCCUAGCCGAAGCGCGGACCUCAGUCCCGGCUGGCCGUAUUACACCCUGGGCUAUAACACCUCCACCGAAGUGGAGGCCACAUUCCCAGAGCCUUUAUCCGGCCGCCGAAACUGAUGCUGGCCUGUCCAAACUGAGUAAACCGGUCAGAAGACCGGCCGAACAGUUUAAACAAGUCUGAUUGCAAGCGCUUCCCUUUCAACAAUUUCACGUGCUUUUUAACUCUCUUUCCAAAGUGCUUUUCAUCUUUCGAUCACUCUACUUGUGCGCUAUCGGUCUCUCGCCAAUAUUUAGCUUUAGAAGAAAUUUACCUCCCAUUUAGAGCUGCAUUCCCAAACAACUCGACUCGUCGAAGGAGAUUUACAUAGGGUGCCAUUUCCUGUCACAUACGGGAUUCUCACCCUCUAUGACGUCCUGUUCCAAGGAACUUAGACAGGCGGCUUCCCCAAAUCAUCCUCUACAAAUUACAAUGCGAACCCGAAGGCUAGCUUUCAAAUUUGAGCUGUUGCCGCUUCACUCGCCGUUACUAGGGCAAUCCCUGUUGG
RNAcentral lists this ribosomal RNA (554 nucleotides) under Aureobasidium pullulans. RNAcentral describes it as "partial 26S ribosomal RNA". The record is from RNAcentral. Lineage: Eukaryota; Fungi; Ascomycota; Dothideomycetes; Dothideales; Saccotheciaceae.